RNAcentral lists this ribosomal RNA (574 nucleotides) under uncultured bacterium. RNAcentral's name for it is "bacterial SSU rRNA". It matches the Rfam family "Bacterial small subunit ribosomal RNA", at positions 338 to 916 of the family's 1533-position model. The record is from RNAcentral.
CCUACGGGAGGCAGCAGUGGGGAAUAUUGCACAAUGGGCGCAAGCCUGAUGCAGCGACGCCGCGUGAGGGAUGGAGGCCUUCGGGUUGUGAACCUCUUUCGCUCAUGGUCAAGCCGCAACAAUGGUUGUGGUGAGGGUAGUGGGUAAAGAAGCGCCGGCUAACUACGUGCCAGCAGCCGCGGUAAUACGUAGGUCCCGAGCGUUGUCCGGAUUUAUUGGGCGUAAAGCGAGCGCAGGCGGUUAGAUAAGUCUGAAGUUAAAGGCUGUGGCUUAACCAUAGUACGCUUUGGAAACUGUUUAACUUGAGUGCAAGAGGGGAGAGUGGAAUUCCAUGUGUAGCGGUGAAAUGCGCAGAUAUAUGGAGGAACACCGGUGGCGAAAGCGGCUCUCUGGCUUGUAACUGACGCUGAGGCUCGAAAGCGUGGGGAGCAAACAGGAUUAGAUACCCUGGUAGUCCGCACAGUAAACGCUGGAUGCCCGCUGUUGGCUCAUUAGAGUCAGCGGCCAAGCGAAAGCAUUAAGCAUCCCACCUGGGGAGUACGCCGGCAACGGUGAAACUCAAAGGAAUUGACGG